Molecule: small nucleolar RNA, 75 nt
Organism: Phoenix dactylifera (date palm)
Lineage: Eukaryota; Viridiplantae; Streptophyta; Magnoliopsida; Arecales; Arecaceae
Product: small nucleolar RNA Z105
Source: RefSeq, a predicted model, not a curated record
AUGGCAUAAUGAUGAAACUAUUUUUUCCCGAGAUCUUUUCACUGAUGAGUGAAAUAAUCCUCCUACUCAUUCUGA